Molecule: long non-coding RNA, 421 nt
Organism: Zalophus californianus (California sea lion)
Lineage: Eukaryota; Metazoa; Chordata; Mammalia; Carnivora; Otariidae
Exons: 5
Source: RefSeq, a predicted model, not a curated record
CGGACCCCGACCUCAGGCCCGCACGGUGCUAACUGCUUUGACGCCGGCCUGCGACCGGUGACUCUGGGCAGGCCUCAGUUCGCCUCGUCUGCAAAAUGGGACGACAAAGGGUAGCUCCGUCCCAGCGCUCCCCUGGCAGGCAGUGUAGGUCCACCUCCUAGCAAAUUAUUUGGAAUGAACAUGAGAAAUCUCCUGAUUGGCUCCCUCCGAAACACCACGACCACCUCCCAGCUGGUCGCCUAAAUCACUGGCCUCGGGCCCCUCUCCUGACUGCAAACUGAUAGCUGCCGGAAGCAAAGAAUCAGCGUUGCAUCUUGUGUGCCAUCUGGCCUGGCAUCUGAUGUAGGUGCUCCAGGUGGAUCUGCUGGACCACGGACCAGAGGCUGGUUCCAUUUUACAGUCUUCUGCUUUAGUCUGAAAG